RNAcentral lists this ribosomal RNA (406 nucleotides) under uncultured bacterium. RNAcentral describes it as "partial 16S ribosomal RNA". It matches the Rfam family "Bacterial small subunit ribosomal RNA", at positions 30 to 526 of the family's 1533-position model. The record is from RNAcentral.
AUUGAACGCUGGCGGCAGGCUAAACACAUGCAAGUCGAACGAGUGGCGGACGGGUGAGUAAUGUCUGGGAAAUUGCCUGAUGGAGGGGGAUAACUACUGGAAACGGUAGCUAAUACCGCAUACCAUCAGAUGUGCCCAGAUGGGAUUAGCUAGUUGGUGGGGUAACGGCUCACCAAGGCGACGAUCCCUAGAUGGUCUGAGAGGAUGGCGCGCCACACUGGACCGUGGACACGGUCCAGACUCCUACGUUAGGCUGCAGUUGAGAUUAUUGCACAAUGGGGGCAAGCCUGAUGCAGCCAUGCCGCUUGUGUGAAGAAGUCCUUCGGGUUGUAAAGUGCUUUCAGCGGGCAGGCGUUACCCGCAGAGGGAGCACCGGCUAGCUCCGUGCCAGCAGCCGCGGUAAUAC